Molecule: long non-coding RNA, 916 nt
Filed under: Selaginella moellendorffii
Lineage: Eukaryota; Viridiplantae; Streptophyta; Lycopodiopsida; Selaginellales; Selaginellaceae
Description: long non-coding RNA (SMOE_LNC001810)
Source: RNAcentral
GUCCGGAAAACUAAUGUCCUCGAUGUCACCAACGUUGGAGCUUCGGUGGUGGACAAUACCGCAGAUCUCCUUGGUCUUGGAGUGACACUGCAAUUGAUCAGUAAGUAUAUGUUUGUCGCUGCCAAGAACAUCCUCACCUUUGAGUAUUGUACAGGUGCCAAGACAGGAAAGAAGAGCGAUCCCGCAAACCUUGAGAAGUGGUUGUUUUCUGGAGGAUUAUUUGCUACGGACGAUGUCAAGUACUCUGUGAAGUUUUCAGUAGAUCCGGAUUUCGGACUGCCUGGAGCAUUUAUCAUCGCAAAUAGUCAUCCAAGUGAAUUUUACCUUGUCUCUUUGACUGUCGAGAUGCCUGGAGGGGGGAAGAUCGUUGAGUUUCCUUGUUAUUCCUGGGUUUACAAUUCGAACCUCUACAGAACAGAGCGUCUGUUCUUCAGUAAUCAGGUAGGCCCUGCGUGGUAAAGAUCUCUGACUGUUGUAUCCUGACGAAUUCUUUCAGCUCUACUUGCCAAACGAGACACCGACGGGCCUGACAAAUGCUCGGGAGAGUGACUUGAAAGCCCUGCAAGGCGAUGGAACGGGAAUUAGACAAGACUGGGAUCGGAUUUACGACUACGAUACUUACAACGAUCUGGGAAAUCCACUCCUCAACCUGCAAAGACCAACUUUGGGCGGAUCGACUGAUCUUCCUUAUCCCCGCAGGUGUCGCACCGGUCGAAUUAACAUCAAUGGAGGUCUGAAUAAGAAGAAGAAGAAAAAAAAAACUGAUUAGUGAUUUUCCUGUGCAACAGUUGAAACUCUCACCUUGACCCCGUUAAACAAAUUCUACAUACCAAGCGACGAAAGAUUCGGCGCCGUGAAGAACAGUGACUUCCUGGCCGACGGUCUCAAGGCACUGAGUCACAGCGUUCUUCCAACU